This 74-nucleotide transfer RNA is filed under the name Thermoplasmatales archaeon. RNAcentral describes it as "tRNA-Arg". It matches the Rfam family "tRNA". Rfam says of the family: Transfer RNA (tRNA) molecules are approximately 80 nucleotides in length. Their secondary structure includes four short double-helical elements and three loops (D, anti-codon, and T loops). Lineage: Archaea; Methanobacteriati; Thermoplasmatota; Thermoplasmata; Thermoplasmatales. The record is from RNAcentral.
GGGUCUGUAGUGUAGUCUGGAUAGCACAGGGGCCUCCGGAGCCCCUAACCCGGGUUCAACUCCCGGCAGACCCA